RNAcentral lists this long non-coding RNA (335 nucleotides) under Prunus persica (peach). Its description in RNAcentral is "long non-coding RNA (PPER_LNC003985)". Lineage: Eukaryota; Viridiplantae; Streptophyta; Magnoliopsida; Rosales; Rosaceae. The record is from RNAcentral.
UAACUCGGAGGAACUCGCCGAGUCGACUCUGUCUACUAUCAGAUCUCGCAUUCCUAGGGUUCCUAAACCGCCUCCAAGACCAUCCACAUCCAACGGCGAGAACAAGGCCACAACAGAACAAGCGGUUACAUUUCCACCACCUCCGCCACCUCCAACGAGCCAGGCGAAGUCGGUACCUCCACCGCCACCUCCGCCGUCAAGAGCGGCUCCGCCUCCGCCUCCCCCGCCUCCUAAAGGGAGAAGGCCGGCCCCUGCGAAGGUGAGGCGAGUGCCGGAGGUUGUGGAGUUUUACCACUCUCUGAUGAGAAGAGACUCUCGCAGAGACUCCGGCAGUG